Molecule: ribosomal RNA, 104 nt
Filed under: Microtus ochrogaster (prairie vole)
Lineage: Eukaryota; Metazoa; Chordata; Mammalia; Rodentia; Cricetidae
Source: RNAcentral
GUCUACAUCCAUACCACCCUGAACGUGCCUGAUCUUGUCUGAUCUCAGAAGCUAAGCAUGAUCAGACUGGAGAGAGUUUGGAGUUUUUCUGUGUUGUGUGGUUC